UACGUAGGGAGCAAGCGUUGUCCGGAAUCAUUGGGCGUAAAGCGCGCGUAGGUGGCUUCGUAAGUCCGUUGUGAAAGUCAAAGGCUCAAUCUUUGAAAGCCGAUGGAUACUGCGGAGCUAGAGUACGGAAGAGGCGAGUGGAAUUCCUGGUGUAGCGGUGGAAUGCGCAGAUAUCAGGAGGAACACCAAUAGCGAAGGCAGCUCGCUGGGACGUUACUGACACUGAGGCGCGAAAGCGUGGGGAGCGAACAGG
RNAcentral lists this ribosomal RNA (253 nucleotides) under uncultured bacterium. Its description in RNAcentral is "partial 16S ribosomal RNA". It matches the Rfam family "Bacterial small subunit ribosomal RNA", at positions 524 to 776 of the family's 1533-position model. The record is from RNAcentral.